GAAAGAGUUUGGGAUGGAGAAAGGAGAAACUUGAGGUCUCUGGGAGUUGCUUGAACCAAUUGACCGUAACCUGGCCAGAGAAUUCUGAUAGUAUCUUCUCUCCUUCUCCCAAACAG
Molecule: microRNA precursor, 116 nt
Organism: Colobus angolensis palliatus
Lineage: Eukaryota; Metazoa; Chordata; Mammalia; Primates; Cercopithecidae
Source: Ensembl